This 459-nucleotide ribosomal RNA is filed under the name Nerita morio. Its description in RNAcentral is "partial 16S large subunit ribosomal RNA". It matches the Rfam family "Bacterial large subunit ribosomal RNA", at positions 1910 to 2597 of the family's 2925-position model. The record is from RNAcentral. Lineage: Eukaryota; Metazoa; Mollusca; Gastropoda; Cycloneritida; Neritidae.
CAGUGAUUACUUUAACGGCCGCGGUACCCUGACCGUGCAAAGGUAGCAUAAUCAUUUGCCUUUUAAUUGGAGGCUAGUAUGAAUGGUCUAACGAGAGUAAAACUGUCUCAUAUAUAUUUAACAGAAACUAAUCUAAAGGUGCAAAAGCCUUUAUCUAUUAAAAAGACGAGAAGACCCUGUUGAGCUUUAAUCUUAAUAAACAUCUUUUAUAUAUUCAUAAAUUUGCCCUGUUUACUAAAGAUUUUAAUUGGGGCGAUUAAGGAACAAUCGUUAGCUUCCUGACUAUAAGUUAAAUCGAUCCAGCAGUGCUGAUCAACAAAACGAGUUACCACAGGGAUAACAGCAUAAUUCUUCUUAAGAGCUCAUAUCGAAAGAAGAGAUUGUGACCUCGAUGUUGGACUAGGGUAACUAAAAGGUGUAGCCGCUUUUUUGUUUGGUCUGUUCGACCAGUAAUUCCCU